Molecule: unclassified non-coding RNA, 310 nt
Filed under: plant metagenome
Description: partial contains 5.8S ribosomal RNA, internal transcribed spacer 2, and large subunit ribosomal RNA
Rfam family: 5.8S ribosomal RNA (bases 1-105)
Source: RNAcentral
GAAAUGCGAUAAGUAGUGUGAAUUGCAGAAUUCAGUGAAUCAUCGAAUCUUUGAACGCACAUUGCGCCCCUUGGUAUUCCAUGGGGCAUGCCUGUUCGAGCGUCAUUUGUACCCUCAAGCUCUGCUUGGUGUUGGGUGUUUGUCCCCGUCUCCGCGCGUGGACUCGCCCCAAAGUGAUUGGCAGCCGGCGUACUGGUCCCGGAGCGCAGCACAUGUCGCGCAAACGAGUGCCUUGGUACGGCGGCGUCCAUAAGCCCCUCUCUCACGCUCUUGACCUCGGAUCAGGUAGGGAUACCCGCUCAACUUAAGC